AGAGUUUGAUCCUGGCUCAGAUUGAACGCUGGCGGCAUGCCUUACACAUGCAAGUCGAACGGUAACAGGUCUUUCGGGAUGCUGACGAGUGGCGAACGGGUGAGUAAUACAUCGGAACGUGCCUAGUAGUGGGGGAUAACUACUCGAAAGAGUGGCUAAUACCGCAUGAGAUCUAUGGAUGAAAGCAGGGGACCUUCGGGCCUUGUGCUACUAGAGCGGCCGAUGGCAGAUUAGGUAGUUGGUGGGAUAAAAGCUUACCAAGCCUACGAUCUGUAGCUGGUCUGAGAGGACGAUCAGCCACACUGGGACUGAGACACGGCCCAGACUCCUACGGGAGGCAGCAGUGGGGAAUUUUGGACAAUGGGGGAAACCCUGAUCCAGCAAUNCCGCGUGCAGGAUGAAGGCCUUCGGGUUGUAAACUGCUUUUGUACGGAA
Molecule: ribosomal RNA, 435 nt
Filed under: Comamonas sp. R-28222
Lineage: Bacteria; Pseudomonadati; Pseudomonadota; Betaproteobacteria; Burkholderiales; Comamonadaceae
Description: bacterial SSU rRNA
Rfam family: Bacterial small subunit ribosomal RNA
Source: RNAcentral